UCCACGGCCCACACAGGAGCUGUGGCACUCCCUCUGUGGGAACACACACACAAACACAUGUGCAGUUUCAUUUGAAAUAAACCAGUAAAAUGAGCUUUAAAUCAAGAGAAGGACCAAGUUGAUGAUCACAGGGUCUCCGGAAUUGAAUCCCACAUCUGGAAAUGUCCGUGGAACUUAUUGGUCGGCCUCAGCCUCGUCGAUGUGUUCCACAGGUGGAGAGCGGUGCUGUCAGAGGCUCGGAGGUUUAUGGAUACGGGACCGGUCCAAAAGGGAAGAGUGGCUUUGUGUAAACACUACCUGGCACCUCUCUGGGAAAUACAUGAUUCAUCGUAUCAGAAGAGAUGCUGCGGUUUAGGUUUCGUAGGAGAAAUCCAGGAACAGCUAGACUUCUUUCUACCAUCCUCUCCAUCAGCAAAGUAGUAGUAGGAGGAGGAGGAGAGAACAGAGACGCUUGUCAGUUGUUGUGCCAAAAUGGAGAAGACGGACCGGGAAGCAGCGCUGAGGGAUGAAACGAUGCCUGCAAAGUGUAAAAUGAGUCUGUCAGCUGGUGUCAUGUGUGAAGUUGUGAGGAGAGUGAGAGCUUUCAAAGCGUCCGGCAUGCAGCGGUCAACAGGAAGGGAAACUCUUUUUACCACAUGGCGUCCCGUUGGAUCUGAAACUCUCGACUGAAGCUGUGCAGCACGUGGGCGACAAGGUUACCGAUGACAAGACUAGACAAAGGACCCAGUGAAGUGAAGCCCCCCCCCCCCCAUGUGUCUCCUCGCCCACUCUUCAGAGAUCAGUGGACUUCCAGGAGGAAACAUUAGUUUGUCUGUCAGAGAGAAGUUCCCGCCGCCGCCGGCCUACUUAGUUUUGGUCGAGGAUCAAAGGCACCGGGACAGAAAUGAGAUUUCCAUUUCCCUUUCAGUCAAACUGCUUCUGUGAUACAAAUAAAAAGCUGGAGAAUCGUUCGCCGUCAAGAAGAAGUAGAGUGUGGGGGGGUGGGGUCACACCGGCUCUGUUGAGAGAAGAAGCAGCAUCCACCCCUGUGGAGUCUCUGUGACUUCACGUCUCAUGGGGUCCAUUGGACCUGGCUGUGUCUGAUGCCUCCUGAAAGGGUUUUUUUCUAUUUCUUGGGAGUUUUUCCUGAUCCGAUGUGAGGUCAAAGGUCAGGGAUGUCGUAUGUGUACAGAUUGUAAAGCCCCCUGAGGGGAGUUUUUUUUAAAAAUCUGUGAUAUUGGGCGAGAUUAAAUAAACUGAAUUGGUACAGAGGAUCCUGAAGAGCUGGUGUGGCAGAUUAAUGCUGAAUGCUACAGUGGAGGGGGGGGGGGGGUCCAGUUUCACAGAGAGCCCCAUCUCUUCUAAUCGGCCUUAUUAUGGGCUGUUGAGAUGUCACGGCCAGCAGCUCCGGGCCGUAGAGGAGCCGAAUGCUGCUGCUCAAGCACUUCAGAGACUAAUAGAGAUGAGAGAAAGAGAGCGAGACACACACACACACAAGCAAAAUACCAAUGAAGUCGAGGAGGGUUGGGUGUCUGCCCGCCUGCCUGCGUGCUCAAAAGAAAUGCAGAUCAAAUACAAUCAUGAUUAUGCAAAAAAAAACACAAUGUAAAUC
Molecule: long non-coding RNA, 1591 nt
Organism: Pseudoliparis swirei
Lineage: Eukaryota; Metazoa; Chordata; Actinopteri; Perciformes; Liparidae
Exons: 3
Source: RefSeq, a predicted model, not a curated record